Molecule: long non-coding RNA, 4118 nt
Filed under: Brassica napus (rape)
Lineage: Eukaryota; Viridiplantae; Streptophyta; Magnoliopsida; Brassicales; Brassicaceae
Description: long non-coding RNA (BNAP_LNC022605)
Source: RNAcentral
GUACCACUAAGAACCCUGCCAAACAAGAUUUCCGCCGCCCAAACCUCUCCCUCCGCAACCAGAAGAAGAACCUCGCAGAUGCAUGAAACACUUUAUCCCACCUUCAUGAUCAUCUUCAUAUCUCUACUACUUGCUUCAUAGAAAAGGGGCUUAUUGUACUAAAUAAAUAUUCCAAUAAAAGAUGAUCAUUUUUACUAAUGAAUAUUUUAGUUUGAGUUCAAUCCCUUCUUACCGCUUCAGUUACGUUUUACUUUGGAUGAUUAGUGAUGUAGAGUGAGCUACGAUGACACUAGAAUAUUCUUUAGUCAGAGAAUUCCUAUGAUGAAUGUCUUAUUUUAAUCGUUGAAAACACCAAGGAUUAAAGAACACCAAUGUAGUGAAGAUGGACGUUUAAGGGGAGAAGGAGGCUGAAGUGGAGGAUGAGAUUGAACUGAAAAUGAAGGUUGCAUGGGAGGUUCAAGAGGCAAAGGGUGAUACAAAAUGUUGUAGAUCAAAUGUUAGUAAACCCGCAUGAAGCAAAAUUACUGGCUCUCCCUCACGGUUUGCGAUCUUUGAAGAAGAUGAAGGAGAAGGAAAUAGUUUGGCAGUACAAAUAGACACAGAUAGUUAUUCAAAUUUCCACUUAACUUGAAAGAGAAGAAGGGGAGACUGAACAUGUGUCAGUCAGUCAAACGAUGGAGGAAGAAAUCCAAAAGGAGAAACACGAGGAGAAACAGCUUAUCUCAUAUUUUCAUCGAAAUGUAAAAACAAAAAAUUCAGAUUGUUUUGAUUCAAACACUGCAAAUGCAAAGGAUCUAGCUCCUAGCGUAGCAGGUAGAAGAAGAAUCACCCAGAAGAAAUAAUCAUGUCAGCUUUGUGUUGGGUUCCUCCUAGUGGGGAAACCCAAUGGUGUGAUUGUGGUGAAAAUGAGAAGUUAAUCUAGAGGAUCAAAGUGACCACUUGAGAAAUUCAUCUUGAGCAAACUUUGAUGCUCUAGGUAACACAAUCACAUAUUUUAAGUUUGGGCCAAUGAUAUUUAUCCAUGAGAUGGUAUUGGGCAUUGGUGGGUUAGUGAGACAGGACUAUAUAACCUAAUUUUGUGGUAAGCUAAGCAAAAAGAAAGCAAGAACUAAGAAAAGGAAGCACAAGAGAGAAAGGAGAUAAAGAGGAAAGUCGUCUUGGUUUGUCAAGGCAGGGUUUGGAGGGUCAAACGGAUCCUGAUCUGGCUGAUACUUUGUGGGAAGCUUCGUCAUUCAGUUGGUUAGAGGUUCACCAAAGGGAUUUGGAUUUCAACGGUUGGAUCUUCUGAGAUAUGGGUUUUAGUGAAGCUGGUUGUCAGUAUUUUUCAGCAGUUCUGUCUUGAGUGUUUGGUAAAUUUGACGGUGAGGUCUUCUCUGUUUUGAGCUGGGAUUUGGCAGAGGUACUACUGGGUUGUUGCUGCUGGUCUUGAAGCUUUGUGUUGCUCUCUUGUGGUUGUGUUCUUGUGUUGGAGAUAGCUUUUGUAGCUGAGUCUCUGUUCUGUUCAGGUUGUUGAACAGGGAGGACGUGGUUGUACUCACAUACAUUUAUAUAGUGGAUUGUUGAGUGGACUACGGUCCCGUGGUUUUUUUCUUCUCACAUCGAGUAGGUUUUCUACGUAAAAAGUGUUUGUCUCAUUUAGUUAUUGCUUAUACUAUAUCCUGCUAUCUUCGAAGUAUUUUCCUCUCAGAUUCUCACAAGGUCAGGGGGAACACGAUAGUACAUUCCGCUGCACUGUGUGUUUUAACCCCAUCAAAGUGGUAUCAGAGCUUUUGGUUUUAGAGCUUUGGGGUUGAUAACUUCGGGUUAUGGUUGCUUGUGAGAAUGAUGGAAAAUACGAGCAGGGUGAUAAGCUUGAAUGGUGCUAAAUAUCAUCUAUGGAAGGGUAAGAUGGAGGAUUUUCUCUUUGUUAAAGAAUUCCAUUUUCAAGUCUUCGAGGAGAAGAAAUCUGAGAAGAAGACGGAUAAAGAGUGGAAGCUUCUGCAUCGCCAAGUGUGUGGGUUGAUAAGGCAGUGGGUAGAUGAUAAUGUGUUGCAUCAUAUUGAGACUGAGACGGAUGCUCGUUCUUUGUGGAAGAAGCUGGAGCAGUUGUAUGCAAGGAAGACCGGAAACAACAAGAUGUACAUGAUCAAGAAGUUGAUUGAGCUGAGGUAUCAGGAGGAAACUCCGAUGACGGGUCACUUGAAUCGUUUUAGGGAUUGCUCAACAAGCUGUCUGAUAUGGGCAUCAAGUUUGAUGAUGAGAUUCACGGUCUAUGGCUUCUCGGUACUUUACUGGAUUCUUGAGAGGUUUUUAGGAUGUCUCUUUGUAACUCCGUGUCGGAAGGUGUUAUUUCGAUGGAUUCAGUGAAGAACAGUGUUCUUAAUGAGGAAGCAAGAAGACAGUCGAACGCUAGCAGUUCGUGUUCAGAUGUCUUUGUUACUGAGUCAAGGGGGAGGAGUUCGAGUAGAGAUCCCAGAGAGACAAGAACAGGAGCAGGAGAAAAUCUAAUAAAUUUGCUAACAUGGAGUGCUAUUUCUGUCACAAGAAAGGGCACAUGAAGAAGGAUUGUUGGAAGUUGAAAAACAAGCAGCAAGGAAAUCAAGAAGAAAAAGUGGAUCGGGUGACUGUCACCGAAGAUCAGUUUUUCAUUCUUCUUGAGGGUGAUGCCAUUAAUGUUGCAUGCCAAAACACCAGUUGGGUGAUUGAUAGUGGAGCUACUACUCAUGCAACAUCACAGCGGGAUUUGUUUUCUACCUAUACUACGGGUAAUUAUGGUUCCGUGAAGAUGGGAAAUGAUGCAAUGGCUCAGGUUGCUGGCAUUGGCGAUAUAUGCUUGGAGACUAGUCUUGGGACUAGGUUGAUGCUUAAGGAUGUUAAGCAUGUCCCUGAUAUUAGGAUGAAUCUGAUAUCAACGGGAAGGCUUGAUGAUGAGGGUUAUUUCAGUUUGCACGGUGGUGGUAAAUGGAAGCUCUCUCGCGGUGCUUUGAUUGUGGCUCGAGGUGAGAAAUCCUCAUCCUUCUAUUAGAUGCAGGCUAAGGUCUCCAAAGACGCUGUUAAUGCGGUGGAGAAUGAUGGUGCCAUGGAGUUAUGGCAUAAGAGACUCGGUCACAUGAGUGAGAAGGGAAUGUCUGUGUUGUCUAAGAAUGAGGUGAUUCCAGGAAUCUGUGGUUUGCACCUGCAGAAGUGAUCGCAUUGCUUUGCGGGAAAACAACACAAGGUGUCUUUCAAGUCUUAUGCGCCUUCUAGGAAACCCGAGGUACUCGAUUUGGUACAUUCAGAUGUGUGUGGUCCAAUGAAGACAAGAUCCAUUUGCAGCGCAUCAUAUUUUGUGACUUUCAUUGAUGAUCAUUCAAGGAAGUUGUGGUUAUUUCCUAUGAGGACGAAGGAUCAGGUGCUGGGAUAUUUCAACCAUUUUGUGGCGUUGGUAGAGAGACAAACGGGAAAGAAGCUGAAGUGUAUCCGCAGUGAUAAUUGUGGAGAGUAUUCUGGACCAUUUGAUGCUUAUUGUAAAGAGCAUGGAAUAAGACAUCAGUUCACGCCACCAUGAUGAUCUAAUUAGGAUUUAGUACUCCCGGUGAAGAAACCCGUGAGAAAGCUGUUGCUGAUUCCAAGCGGAUCGAUUAUCUCUGCAGUCAUCUAUGUUUUCUCCGCAAGGUCAUCAGGUGAGUGGAAGCUACUUUAUUUUUUUCUCUUUUGAAUUUGAUGUAUGGUCAUCAUCAUGCACAUGCUUUGAAUUAUGUUUUUUUUUUCUGUUUCCAGGGAGAAGGGUGUCAACAUAAAAGGAUACUUUGCAUGGGCUCUUGGAGAUAAUUAUGAAUUCUGCAAAGGUUUUACCGUUAGAUUCGGACUUAGUUACGUUAACUGGACAGACCUCAAUGAUAGAAAUCUCAAAAAAUCUGGCAAAUGGUACCAAAGCUUUAUUAACGGUACCACUAAGAACCCUGCCAAACAAGAUUUCUGCCCCCCAAACCUCUCCUUCCAGAACCAGAAGAAGAAGCUCUCAGAUGCAUGAAACACUUUAUCCCACCAUCAUGAUCAUCUUCAUAUCUCUACUACUUGCUUCAUAGAUAAGGGGCUUGUUGUACUAAAUAAAUAUUCCAAUAAAAGAUGAUCAUUUUUACUAAUGAAUAUUUUAGUUU